This 412-nucleotide long non-coding RNA is filed under the name Cricetulus griseus (Chinese hamster). Its description in RNAcentral is "lncRNA (ENSCGRG00000024524.1)". The record is from RNAcentral. Lineage: Eukaryota; Metazoa; Chordata; Mammalia; Rodentia; Cricetidae.
AUGAAGAAUAAUGACAGACUAAAAGAAAAACUAUGCACCAAACGAAAUCCCCAUGAGCUGCAAAUAUCUAUUCAACUCAGUGAUUCAUCCUUCAACUCAACUCUGCAUUUCUGUAAUGUGCCAAGAGCUCCGCUGGCCUCUGGGGAAAUAGAUGAAAGUUUCUUGCCUGUGUGAGGCUGGGAGACUAUUUACUGGAGCAAAGACCUGCAGUCAGAGAAGACAGAGGAUGUUUUAGUUAUGCUUCCUGUUGUUUUGAAAAAAUAAAAAUACCCUGAAGAAAGCAACUCUGGGGGCUGGAGAGAUGGCUCAGUGGUUAUGAGAGCAUUCUGGCCUUGCAGAGGAUCCAAGGUUGGUUCCCAGCACCCACAAUGGGCAGCUCCCAACUGCCUGUAACUGUUUACCCAGGGAAUCU